ACGCUCGACACCUACGGGAGGUAGCAGUGGGGAAUAUUGCACAAUGGGGGAAACCCUGAUGCAGCGACGCCGCGUGAGCGAAGAAGUAUCUCGGUAUGUAAAGCUCUAUCAGCAGGGAAGAAGAUGACGGUACCUGACUAAGAAGCACCGGCUAAAUACGUGCCAGCAGCCGCGGUAAUCUGAGCGGGCUGGCAAGGC
Molecule: ribosomal RNA, 198 nt
Filed under: uncultured bacterium
Lineage: Bacteria
Description: partial 16S ribosomal RNA
Rfam family: Bacterial small subunit ribosomal RNA
Source: RNAcentral